Molecule: ribosomal RNA, 497 nt
Filed under: uncultured bacterium
Lineage: Bacteria
Description: partial 16S ribosomal RNA
Rfam family: Bacterial small subunit ribosomal RNA
Source: RNAcentral
GACGAACGCUGGCGGCGUGCCUAAUACAUGCAAGUUGAGCGAUGAAGAUUGGUGCUUGCACCAAUUUGAAGAGCAGCGAACGGGUGAGUAACGCGUGGGGAAUCUGCCUUUGAGCGGGGGACAACAUUUGGAAACGAAUGCUAAUACCGCAUAACAACUUUAAACAUAAGUUUUAAGUUUGAAAGGUGCAAUUGCAUCACUCAAAGAUGAUCCCGCGUUGUAUUAGCUAGUUGGUGAGGUAAAGGCUCACCAAGGCGAUGAUACAUAGCCGACCUGAGAGGGUGAUCGGCCACAUUGGGACUGAGACACGGCCCAAACUCCUACGGGAGGCAGCAGUAGGGAAUCUUCGGCAAUGGACGAAAGUCUGACCGAGCAACGCCGCGUGAGUGGAGAAGGUUUUCGGAUCGUAAAACUCUGUUGGUAGAGAAGAACGUUGGUGAGAGUGGAAAGCUCAUCAAGUGACGGUAACUACCCAGAAAGGGACGGCUAACUACGUG